AAGUUUGUUGUAACAAGUUUGAAACAAGCUGUUAACAACUUGCAACAAACUUGAUGGCAUUAUCAGCCUUGUUACAAGACUGUGCUGACAAGUUUGUUACAGCCGUGAUAUAACAAAGAUGUUACAAGGUUCAAAACAAGGUUGCAACAAUCUUGUUAUAUCAAGCAUGUAACAGACUUGUCAGAACAACCUUGCAACAAGUCUGAUAAUUUCGACAAGGUUGUUGCAAGUUGUCAACAAGUUGUUCCAAACCUGUUGACAACUU
Molecule: microRNA precursor, 265 nt
Filed under: Paramuricea clavata
Lineage: Eukaryota; Metazoa; Cnidaria; Anthozoa; Malacalcyonacea; Plexauridae
Source: RNAcentral